Molecule: ribosomal RNA, 492 nt
Filed under: uncultured bacterium
Lineage: Bacteria
Description: partial 16S ribosomal RNA
Rfam family: Bacterial small subunit ribosomal RNA
Source: RNAcentral
AGUGAACGCUGGCGGUAGGCCUAACACAUGCAAGUCGAACGGCAGCACAGUAAGAUCUUUCUCUUAAGGGUGGCGAGUGGCGGACGGGUGAGGCAUACAUCGGAAUCUACUUUUUCGUGGGGGAUAACGUAGGGAAACUUACGCUAAUACCUCAUACGACCUACGGCUGAAAUCAAUGGAUCUUCGGACCUUUCGCGAUUGUAUUAGCCGAUGUCGGAUUAGCUAGUUGGCGGGGUAAAGGCCCACCAAGGCGACGAUCCGUAGCUGGUCUGAGAGGAUGAUCGGCCACACUGGAACUGAGACACGGUCCAGACUCCUACGGGAGGCAGCAGUGGGGAAUAUUGGACAAUGGGCGCAAGCCUGAUCCAGCCAUACCGCGUGGGUGAAGAAGGCCUUCGGGUUGUAAAGCCCUUUUGUUGGGAAAGAAAAGAAGCAGGUUAAUACCCCGCUGUUCUGACGGUACCCAAAGAAUAAGCACCGGCUAACUUCGUG